This 497-nucleotide ribosomal RNA is filed under the name uncultured bacterium. Its description in RNAcentral is "partial 16S ribosomal RNA". It matches the Rfam family "Bacterial small subunit ribosomal RNA", at positions 28 to 507 of the family's 1533-position model. The record is from RNAcentral.
GAUGAACGCUGGCGGCGUGCCUAAUACAUGCAAGUCGAGCGAACGGACGAGAAGCUUGCUUCUCUGAUGUUAGCGGCGGACGGGUGAGUAACACGUGGAUAACCUACCUAUAAGACUGGGAUAACUUCGGGACACCGGAGCUAAUACCGGAUAAUAUUUUGAACCGCAUGGUUCAAAAGUGAAAGACGGUCUUGCUGUCACUUCUAGAUGGAUCCGCGCUGCAUUAGCUAGUUGGUAAGGUAACGGCUUACCAAGGCAACGAUGCAUAGCCGACCUGAGAGGGUGAUCGGCCACACUGGAACUGAGACACGGUCCAGAGUCCUACGGGAGGCAGCAGUAGGGAAUCUUACGCAAUGGGCGAAAGCCUGACGGAGCAACGCCACGUGAGUGAUGAAGGUCUUCGGAUCGUAAAACUCUGUUAUUAGGGAAGAACAUAUGUGUAAGUAACUGUGCACAUCUUGACGGUACCUAAUCAGAAAGCCACGGCUAACUACGUG